This 289-nucleotide long non-coding RNA is filed under the name Elaeis guineensis (African oil palm). Its description in RNAcentral is "long non-coding RNA (EGUI_LNC013265)". The record is from RNAcentral. Lineage: Eukaryota; Viridiplantae; Streptophyta; Magnoliopsida; Arecales; Arecaceae.
GAUGCCAAGUUGCUGAAGGCUGAGAUGAAGCAACUAGAGAUCAAGGUCGCCAAGGCCUGAGGUGAUGUUGAGGCCUGGCUGAACACGGCAACCAGCAAAUGGGAGAAGAGGCUGGAAGCCGAAAAAGCCACCGCAGUCGAGGCAUUCGCUCCUAAAAAAAGCUUUAGACGAUCAAGCUGAAGUUCGGCUCUGAGUCCUAUCUAUGGAGACUUGCAGACUUCAAGAUGAAAGUCCAAAGUCAAUUUUCUGACCUUGACCUCAGACCUCUGGAGUUGGACGGUGAGGAGGA